Molecule: ribosomal RNA, 644 nt
Filed under: uncultured bacterium
Lineage: Bacteria
Description: bacterial SSU rRNA
Rfam family: Bacterial small subunit ribosomal RNA
Source: RNAcentral
GUAACUGGACUGCAACUGACGCUGAGGCGCGAAAGUGUGGGGAGCAAACAGGAUUAGAUACCCUGGUAGUCCACACGGUAAACGAUGAAUGCUAGGUGUAGGGGGUAUCGACCCCUUCUGUGCCGGAGUAAACACAAUAAGCAUUCCGCCUGGGGAGUACGGUCGCAAGAUUAAAACUCAAAGGAAUUGACGGGGGCCCGCACAAGCAGCGGAGCAUGUGGUUUAAUUCGAAGCAACGCGAAGAACCUUACCAGGUCUUGACAUCCAGUAAAAUCUGUAGAGAUACAGUGUGCUUUCGGGCGUACUGAGACAGGUGGUGCAUGGUUGUCGUCAGCUCGUGUCGUGAGAUGUUGGGUUAAGUCCCGCAACGAGCGCAACCCUUGCCAAUAAUUACUAACGUGUAAAGACGAGGACUAUAUUGGGACCGCCGGGGACAACUCGGAGGAAGGUGGGGACGACGUCAAAUCAUCAUGCCCCUUAUGACCUGGGCUACACACGUGCUACAAUGGCCGAGACAGAGAGUGGCGAAGGCGCGAGCCGGAGCGGAUCUCAAAAAAGCGGUCACAGUUCGGAUUGUGGGCUGCAACCCGCCCACAUGAAGCAGGAGUUGCUAGUAAUCGCGAAUCAGCAUGUCGCGGUGAAUA